RNAcentral lists this ribosomal RNA (867 nucleotides) under Triticum aestivum (bread wheat). RNAcentral's name for it is "partial small subunit ribosomal RNA". The record is from RNAcentral. Lineage: Eukaryota; Viridiplantae; Streptophyta; Magnoliopsida; Poales; Poaceae.
AUGGACGCGUCCUGCCUCCCAACGGAGGCGGCGACGGGCGCCGACCGCGAUUCGGACCCUCCAAACCUGGGACAGGUAAGAACAGAAGAGGAACUAUACGUGGAAUCCUUUCUAAAGGUUUCACUUUUGCUGGCCAACCAGGAGUUGAUCAAGGUUCAACUUCAUGGCUAUAAGAUGCUUCAGCAUCUCCUGAAAUACAGGAGUGAAAAACUUAGCAGCACUGAUCUUCUAAAGUUGAUGUUACAGCUGGUUAAAUCCGAUCAUGAUUUAGUUUUAGAGAGUACUGACAGUAGAAGCAGCAUGUCAGAUAAAAGAUCCCAGAACAGUGAUUGGAGUGCGGCACCCACGGGAAUCAAUGACACAAUUUCUUCUCACCAAGGAAUGGACUGUCCUAUCCUUGCAGAGCAUAAUUUAUUAUGCGAGGCAUUUAUUAUUGCAACGUCUUGUCUAGGAAUAUGGAUCCAGAUGGAGUGGAAUCGUAAAUAUGUGCGUACCAUGUCUGGAUUGAGCAAUCUAUUUUCUGAUGGUCAAUUUUUGAAGAUGUCUUAUCACGUUGUGAAAUUCUGUGAGGAAAAGCUUAUGAAUGGAAUAAACGAGUAUGGUGCUUGUGGUGUGUUCUCCAUAGCUCUUUUGGAAUUAAUCAUUCCUCUAUUCUUGCGGCUGCUCCGUUGUAUACAUGUACUUUGGAUGGCGGAAAUUGGUGUUGACUUGUUGCCUGCAGAAGUUGAAAAGGCUAAAACCUUGAGCUGUAUGGAGCUUGAUCAUUUGCUUGAAAUUUCUGAUGGGCUGUAUACUAUUGACAGUGAGGGAUGGUUCCGUGAGAAUGAGACAAGGGCACUGUUAGAGGGAACUCGACAGAGGGUGUAA